Molecule: long non-coding RNA, 1904 nt
Organism: Notothenia coriiceps (black rockcod)
Lineage: Eukaryota; Metazoa; Chordata; Actinopteri; Perciformes; Nototheniidae
Exons: 3
Source: RefSeq, a predicted model, not a curated record
GCCAUUUUACUGUGGUCUAAAGUGCGGCGUCGUUAGGCAUCGAACCGGGACGGGUCUUCUUCCUACAUUACACAACUUUUUUUUAAAUAUAUUUUUAAACCUGAAACUGGUAAUUGACACCACAUAAUUUCUUUCGAUAUUCAUUAAACUUCAGUGUUGUAAUAUAAAAGUUAAUACCACGGCACAAACAAGCCGACAACGACUAGCUAGCAAAGGCUAACACACCACUAACGAUAAGGUCGCGAGAUAUUGUUGGUUUUGGUAGGCCUCUGUUAUGUAGCAUAAGCUAAAAAUAUAAUUGAAAUAAAAACACAAUAUAAGAGGUGCUAAGGCGGGUGUUAAACAUAAGACAUAAAAUCCAUUGUCAUAUGUACUCCACUAUUUUAUCUAACAUUAGUCUUUGUUGCCCUUCAUACAGUAACGUUAUUGCUUUCCUUCUCUGCUGGGAAUCGUUCGUAGUUCGCUCCAGCUAACUGAGCUGCUUUUAAAAUUUAUAAACAGUAAGUAUCUGAUUGUUGUCUUGACUGUUUUGUUUUUUUAAAGCUUUCACUUUAAAUACUUUGAACUCUCUGUUCUUGGUCACGUUAGUGGUCUCAGAUAUCUUUACUUGUAACGUUAAACUCACGACCUUUUAAUUUGGGGCUACAGGAGAAAUCCCGUUAUUUGGUUUAAUAAUAUUUUGAGUCUGUAACUUUGUAAAUCAUUUUUUGUUUAUCGCGUCAUAUCGCGUAUAAGUACUAUUUAGCUUCGCUACAGUUUUUUUUCUUCCUUAAGAUGGAAGCCAGAGUUGUUGUUCAGGUUUAUCAGUGUCGAACUGAGUACAUGUCUGGUGAAAAUAAACAAUCCAGGCCUGGACUCUCGAAAAGGGCAGAUUCAGUUGUUAUUUAUUCUGAAUUCGAUACUUGAAAUAUAUAAACAUGGGUUAAUAAUCUAGUCAAAUAGAGUCUGACCUGGACUCUUGUUAAAACUAAACUCAUCUGCAGUCAUUAUUGAUUGUAUUGUGUCUCACUCCUUGCAGAAAUGUCCAACUGUCACCUUUGUAUUUGUGAAGAACUAUCUGUCUCUUAAUAACACUUUGUUUCAGUUCCCUGGGGGAGUGUUUUUGAUUCAUUUUUUAGGUUUAAAUCCACCCUCUUGGCUCUUUGCUGGAAUCCCUGGAUAUGGAUAGCAUUCCCCCCAUGAAAAUUCGUUGGCAGAAGAUUUUUUUUUUCUCUUCAGCUUUGGUUGAAAAUCUCUAACGGCUUGAAUAUCCUGUCAAUUUUUCUUCUGUUACCAUCACCCAAAUGUCAACAACUCCCAAGAAGAAGCUGAGGAUUGUUUUUCCACCUGCCAUCCACACCCUUUUUGCUAAGCAUUUUUGGAGAUCAAUUUUUUUGUUUUCUGGCAGUUUAUGCCCCCCUAUUUCUUUAUUUUAUUAGUUGCACCAAUUAAUAAAAAAUAAUCAAAAAAAGUUCCCAAAGGACUCUAUUGCAUCCACCUUCAGUUAUGCUUAGCAGUCUUGCGGGAUAAAGAUUUCUCAGAGUCUCAGAAAAGGGAUGUCGUAAGAAGACAAGUGUCUCUGGACGAGCCACCCCUCUUUUCCUAUUAUCUCACGGAUCAAGUGUUCCUUCAGGACUCCAUACCACCAAGGAGACACCCCACCAGCAGUGAGGGAUACAACUUCUCAGCCACCUCAGAGAAUCAGCUGCUGGGUUUAUCACCUCCACCACCCGAGGCGUCCCCGCAUUACUAUGACCAACCAUGGAGAUGACUGCUACUUCUUUUACUAUUCCACCUGCACUAAAGGAGACAGCUGCCCAUUCAGACACUGUGAGGCAGCUAUGGGCAGUGAGAUUGUCUGCAACCUCUGGCAGGAGGGACGCUGUUUCCGUACCGUCUGCAAGUUUCGCCACAUGGAGAUCACA